This 104-nucleotide microRNA precursor is filed under the name Vriesea carinata. RNAcentral's name for it is "miR167a stem-loop (vca-MIR167a)". Its record names the gene vca-MIR167a. It matches the Rfam family "MIR167 microRNA precursor family". The record is from miRBase by way of RNAcentral. Lineage: Eukaryota; Viridiplantae; Streptophyta; Magnoliopsida; Poales; Bromeliaceae.
AGUAGAUGAAGCUGCCAGCAUGAUCUGACCAUCUCUCUUUCUCUCUCUCUCUCUCUCUAAAAGAGAAGAGGGAACUAUCAGAUCAUGUGGCAGUUUCAUCUGCU